This 481-nucleotide long non-coding RNA is filed under the name Salmo salar (Atlantic salmon). RNAcentral describes it as "lncRNA (ENSSSAG00000091934.1)". Lineage: Eukaryota; Metazoa; Chordata; Actinopteri; Salmoniformes; Salmonidae. The record is from RNAcentral.
UGAGGAUUACAGUGAGGUAGUUACUGAGGAUUACAGUGAGGUGGUUACUGAGGAGUACAGUGAGGUAGUUACUGAGGAGUACAGUGAGGGAGGUUACUGAGGAGUACAGUGACGUAGUUACUGAGGAGAACAGUGACGUAGUUACUGAGGAGUACAGUGAGGUGAUUACUGAGGAGUACAGUGAGGUGAUUACUGAGAAGUAAAGUGAGGAGUUUACUGAGGAGUACAGUGAGGUAGUUACUGAGGAGUACAGUGAGGUAGUUACUGAGGAGUACAGUGAGGUGAUUACUGAGAAGUAAAGUGAGGUAGUUACUGAGGAAUACAGUGAGGUGGUUACUGAGGAGUACAGUGAGGUGAUUACUGAGGAUUACAGUGAGGUGAUUACUGAGAAGUAAAGUGAGGAGUUUACUGAGGAGUACAGUGAGGUAGUUACUGAGAAGUACAGUGAGGUGGUUACUGAGGAGUACAGUGAGGUGGUUAC